UACAGAGGGUGCGAGCGUUAAUCGGAAUUACUGGGCGUAAAGGGUGCGUAGGUGGUAGGGUGUGUGUUAUGUGAAAGCCCCGGGCUUAACCUGGGAAGUGCAUAGCAAACUGCCCAACUGGAGUACAUGAGAGGGUAGCGGAAUUUCCGGUGUAGCGGUGAAAUGCGUAGAUAUCGGAAGGAACGUCAAUGGCGAAGGCAGCUGCCUGGCAUGAUACUGACACUGAGGCACGAAAGCGUGGGGAGCGAACAGG
RNAcentral lists this ribosomal RNA (253 nucleotides) under uncultured Aquicella sp. RNAcentral's name for it is "partial 16S ribosomal RNA". It matches the Rfam family "Bacterial small subunit ribosomal RNA", at positions 524 to 776 of the family's 1533-position model. Lineage: Bacteria; Pseudomonadati; Pseudomonadota; Gammaproteobacteria; Legionellales; Coxiellaceae. The record is from RNAcentral.